CCGCAGCCACAUGCAAGGUCGAGCGGUAGAGAGAAGCUUGCUUCUCUUGAGAGCGGCGGACGGGUGAGUAAUGCCUAGGAAUCUGCCUAGUGGUGGGGGAUAACGUUCGGAAACGGACGCUAAUACCGCAUACGUCCUACGGGAGAAAGCGGGGGAUCUUCGGACCUCGCGCCAUUAGAUGAGCCUAGGUCGGAUUAGCUAGUUGGUGAGGUAAUGGCUCACCAAGGCGACGAUCCGUAACUGGUCUGAGAGGAUGAUCAGUCACACUGGAACUGAGACACGGUCCAGACUCCUACGGGAGGCAGCAGUGGGGAAUAUUGGACAAUGGGCGAAAGCCUGAUCCAGCCAUGCCGCGUGUGUGAAAAGGUCUUCGAUUGUAAAGCACUUUAAGUUGGAGGAAGGCAUAACCACUACUUAUUGUUUUGAGGGUCC
This 432-nucleotide ribosomal RNA is filed under the name Pseudomonas anguilliseptica. RNAcentral's name for it is "bacterial SSU rRNA". It matches the Rfam family "Bacterial small subunit ribosomal RNA", at positions 47 to 478 of the family's 1533-position model. Lineage: Bacteria; Pseudomonadati; Pseudomonadota; Gammaproteobacteria; Pseudomonadales; Pseudomonadaceae. The record is from RNAcentral.